GAUGAAGAACGCAGCAAAAUGCGAUAAGUAAUGUGAAUUGCAGAAUUCAGUGAAUCAUCGAAUCUUUGAACGCACAUUGCGCCCGCCAGUACUCUGGCGGGCAUGCCUGUCCGAGCGUCAUUUCAACCCUCAGGGCCCUCCAGCAGGGCGCUGGUGUUGGGGAUCGGCAGUCCCAGCGGCUGCCGUCCCUGAAAUGUAGUGGCGGUCCCACCGUGACCUCCCCUGUGCAGUACAUCGCUCGCAGAGGGACAGCGGUGCGGCCACGCCGUAAAACGCCCAACUCUUCAAGGUUGACCUCGGAUCAGGUAGGACUACCCGCUGAACUUAAGCAUAUCAAUAGCGGAGGA
This 347-nucleotide unclassified non-coding RNA is filed under the name soil metagenome. RNAcentral's name for it is "partial contains 5.8S ribosomal RNA, internal transcribed spacer 2, and large subunit ribosomal RNA". The stretch from base 1 to 120 matches the Rfam family "5.8S ribosomal RNA", at positions 35 to 154 of the family's 154-position model. The record is from RNAcentral.